GUCUAGCCCAGAUAGAAGCGGCAUCCUUUUCCUGUUCGCGGCGGCGGACAGGAAAAGAUAUAGCGGAUAGCUGGAAACAGC
This 81-nucleotide small RNA is filed under the name Flavobacterium araucananum. RNAcentral describes it as "Flavo-1 RNA". It matches the Rfam family "Flavo-1 RNA". Lineage: Bacteria; Pseudomonadati; Bacteroidota; Flavobacteriia; Flavobacteriales; Flavobacteriaceae. The record is from RNAcentral.